AACUAUGGGAUAGUUUCGGUCCCUGUGGUCCAUGUGAGGGAUUGCAUGGAUGUUCUUGAAGUCCAUGAAAAGCCGAUUGUUCAGAGGAUCGAUGAUGUGGACUUGCGUAUUGCUUGUAGCAGAUAGAUUGAACCGAGAGUUAGUUGCCUGGAAACCUGGAUAGGAACGGUUUACUUCUACUCGAAAGAUUUCCACCAAUUUUCCCUCUUGCUUCUCUACGCCUCAAAACCUAACAGAAUUCCCAUAAAUGGUCAUCUCCAUCUUGGUUCCCUACAUAAAUAAAGCACAAGGAUCAAGUUUUUAUUUUUCACGGUUACAUGCUACACUACAAAAAAAGUCUUCAUUGAUAGCAGAUUGUUAUAACACGUUUUACUAAACUGCUAUUGUAGAUUAGUUAAAAAUUUCCGAAUUAUAUAAUAGCCUUAGAAAAACGCUAUGAUAGACUGAAACCUAAAAUAGCACUUAAUUAAUGCUAUUUUAAAAAUUAAGUGAGCGGGAGGAUAAACCAUUGAUUCCGCCAAUAGUUACCGGGAAAUUGACUUAAGCGCCAAAGAUAAUAUUUAAGCGGUUUUAGUAAUGCGAUCGAAGACAUAUAAUAGCAUUUUUCUAACGUUAAGAAAAACUAAUUGGACCCUAAACCUAAACAUGAUUCUAAACCCUAAAAUCUAAAGACAACCCUUAAAACUCUAAUCUUAUCAUAUUAUAACUUCAAAUCUUAAAAAUUAAACUCAAAAUUUAAUCUUCUUAAUCUCAAACUAUCAUUUCCUAAAUAAAUCUAUAAUCAAACCCGAAAUCAUACCUGGAAUGAAGUGGGUAAGUUGAAACCCUAAACCUACUUUUAAACCUUAGAGGCCUAAAUUCUUAACAUAAACUUUAAACUCGAAUGUUUUCAUACUAUAAUCUCAAAUCUUAAAUUUAAACUCAAAAUUUAAUAUUCUCAAUCUUAGUCUAUAGCUUCCAAAACAAAAUAAUUUAAAUUUUCAAUCAAACUCUAUACUCUAAACUCUAAUUUCAAACAUAAACUUUACAUCCACUAAAAAUAAACUUCAAAUCUAAAUUCUUAAAAUUAAAACACAGAUCUAAAACAUAAUAUUUCAAUCUAAUACUUUUCAAAUUUUAAUCCAAAAUCUUAAUUCUAAACCCUAUAUCUCAUACUCCAAACUUAUAUCUUAAACACUAAUCUUUAAAUGAAUCUAACUAAAUUCAUAAUAGCUUUUAAUUAUAUAAAUUAAAUCAUACCUACAAAAUAUAUAAGCAUUCAUUAAGAUUUAAAAACUUGAAUCAUAAUCAUUUAAAAUCAUUAAUUUAAUUCAUAUGAUUUAAACUGCAAAUUUAAAAACCCGUGUCGUUAAGCCUUCUACGACAAAAAAUAAUAAGGGAAAUCUAACUUCUUUUGAUCCUUGUUUUCUAUUGGCGAGAUAACGAUGGUGUGGAUCACUAAUUUUAACCAUCGAUUAUAUUUUAAUCAAUGACCAGAUUGAUUCUUGGUCUAUUUGUUUCUCUCGAUCUUACGCGACUUUUGCUUUCUUCUUCAAUCGUUCAUUUCUCUCACACACAACACAGAUUCAUCAAUCAAGCUGUCCGCCUUCUGAUUGUGCGACAGAGACCAAGCGAAGUGGUGGAACAGAGAGAGGAGAUAGAGCUCGGAGAUGCAGAGAAAGAAGAAGAUGCGACGGUCGGUCUCGAACUCGCCCUCAUGGUCACCGGUCUCUAGCUCGUUCCCGUCUCACCAGCACCACCACCGACGCGCUCGUCACCACCACUACUCCCUUCGAUUCCGUCGCACUCUUCACCACCACCACGGUCCUAUAUAUAUAUAUAUAUUAACCUCCAUUCUUCGUUGAUGGGACAAUGAUUGAAGACCUUCACGGUGGUGGAAGAAGACCUUGACGGGACAGUGGUUGAAGACUUUGACGGUGGAAGAAGAAGAGGAAGCUAUUGCGGCUGGACUCUUAUUUUUUUAGGUUUAGGUUUUUUCAGAUUUGGUUUAGUGUAAACCAAGUUGGGGAAAUUGUGCUGGUUUGACUUUAGUGUUUAAUUUUGGUUUGUUUUGUAAACCGAAAUUUAUAUGUAAACCCAUUUUAAUUUAUAAAUAAAAUUUAUUUUAUUUUUAA
Molecule: long non-coding RNA, 2114 nt
Organism: Brassica napus (rape)
Lineage: Eukaryota; Viridiplantae; Streptophyta; Magnoliopsida; Brassicales; Brassicaceae
Exons: 2
Source: RefSeq, a predicted model, not a curated record